CAGUCGCCGCGGGAAUACAGAGGGUGCGAGCGUUAAUCGGAUUUACUGGGCGUAAAGCGUGCGUAGGCGGCUUUUUAAGUCGGAUGUGAAAUCCCUGAGCUUAACUUAGGAAUUGCAUUCGAUACUGGGAAGCUAGAGUAUGGGAGAGGAUGGUAGAAUUCCAGGUGUAGCGGUGAAAUGCGUAGAGAUCUGGAGGAAUACCGAUGGCGAAGGCAGCCAUCUGGCCUAAUACUGACGCUGAGGUACGAAAGCAUGGGGAGCAAACAGGAUUAGAUCCCCAGUAGUCCCUGUCUCUUAUACA
Molecule: ribosomal RNA, 301 nt
Filed under: uncultured bacterium
Lineage: Bacteria
Description: partial 16S ribosomal RNA
Rfam family: Bacterial small subunit ribosomal RNA
Source: RNAcentral